Molecule: long non-coding RNA, 306 nt
Filed under: Salvia miltiorrhiza (redroot sage)
Lineage: Eukaryota; Viridiplantae; Streptophyta; Magnoliopsida; Lamiales; Lamiaceae
Description: long non-coding RNA (SMIL_LNC004130)
Source: RNAcentral
UUGAUGUGAGUGAUUAUCAAUGAGAAAUAUAUUAUCUACAAUUGCGAGCGUCGGGUUGGGCGCGUGCCGACACACGUCGAAUGCAAAUCGAGAACGCGAGGCCCUUCGAGAUGUGGAUUUAUGCUCUCAUUUGGUUGAAACAUAUAUGAUUUUUAACUACAAGAUUUUUUUUUCUCCGAUGCCGGUGUUUGACAAGGCAUAACCUAACAUCAAAAUCAAAACACUCGGACGUCGGGUGCCGAUGAAAUAUUUUUUUUAUUUUUUUAUUUAUUUUUUUACAUAAAAUAACUUUAUUAGACUUAAUUU